GCCCCUUAUAUAUGCCAAAUGUUGCUUCCCUAAAAUUCAUCUCUGUCCUUGGCAUUUUAAGAAAAAAUUGUUGUGGGGUAUUACUGCAUGUUUUUAAAUUUAACACCUUUGAAUUACUGAUAAAAGCUGAGGCUGAAAUAUCUAACAAAAUAAUUAUGUCCUUACCUGAUUUGUCAAUCACUUCUUUUCUCAUAAGUUUUCUGUGAGAGGUUGCAUCCUCCUAAGGAUCCAGAGCUCAUCUGAAUGCAUAACCAUUCUACCAUUUUUCAUUCCAUUUUUAUGUGGAUAAAGUUCCUGUGUACCAAAGUAAGUUACAAAUCCAUCGACAAGCAUAUGCAGCUGCUUCUACAGAACAAAAAAAGCAGGUAUUCAGCACUGUGAAUUUAAAGUAGCUAUCACCUUGAGUUUAUUAAGGACAAAUCUACAGGGGGCAUUUGUCCUAAUGGCUUGAUGUGGAAUCUAUUCCAUACAUAGAAGUUAAAAAGCUUAAUUGGGCAAACUGAAAGCUUGAUCUUUGACUCUAGACAACUUGAGUGCAAGUAAUGGCUAUUCAGAGGUUAAUUUUCUCCAUCUCAUAGGCAAAGAGGCUUUUCUGUCUAUGUUGUCUCCUUUAGAUGCAGAAUGUGAGCUCUCUAUACAGGAUGGCAGUUUAUAUUUUUUGAAACCAUUCCAGCGGCCUGCCUGCAUCAGUAUGUAUGGGGCAGUGGUUCCUAAGUUAUUAAAAACCAGAUUCUCUCAUUUGCAAUUAUCGUUACAAAAAGGCAUCAAUGCUAAUGAGCCAAAGAGCUUUGGAGUGUAAUGAGUAUGUCACUCAAUGGAUUAUAAUGCACUUACGGCAGCCUGACUACUCCACUCUCAGUAACGCAAAGCAUAACACACAUCAGCCAAGGAUUAUUUCCUCCCCAGCUCUGAAAUAACUUCCCACUUUGACAAAGUAGAGAUAAAUGCAGAUUGUGCUCAAGGCCUGCAAAUCCUACAGGCAGGGGAUUGUCCGUACCACGAGGCAACCCUAGGCAGUUAUGCAGAGACACACUUUUUUAGAGAGAGAGAGAGAGAGCAGUGUUUUUGUUGUUGCCAAUGCACGCGACAGAACAGACAGGGCAGGAGAAGGAAAGAUGCUACCGGGCUAGUGGUAGGAGACAAGUAAAAAAUUAGGUAACAGACACUGAGGCUGUUACCAGCUUAAAAUGCAGCCAGGUUGAUGUUUUUAUGAAUUCAGAUCAAAUCAGGUUCAGGGAACAAACGCAUAAGAAAUGGCAGGAUAGAAAUGGGAUAGAUGCGGAUUGUGGCUAACGUCGUAUGCACACUACUUUUCAAACCAGAGGUGGCAGCGCACUAUGUGAAGAGUAAAUGGGAGUGAGAGAGGGGUUCAUUGUGUUGUGGGCUGCAGUCAGCUUCACCACCCACUACAUCUCUCAGACGUAGGAUUGCCAGAGUUCCGGGUCUGACCUGAAGUCUACAGGUUUUUCCUGGCCUCCUCCAGAUGGCAGGUGGAAGGCUUGAACGUCCAGGAGCGUGGGAAGGACAAUAAACAACAACAACAACAACAACAAUAAUAAUAUUAAUAAUAAUAAUGUGACUGUACAUGCAGCUCGCAAGCCGUAGAAACUACUGUGUCAGCUUUGACAAUAAAGAGUUAACUAUCUGCCAUGUCCAUUCCUUUGGCUGGGAGGCAGUGCCUUGAUAAUGGACCACUUGAGAACCAAUGAAGCUCUUGAAGGACCACUUAGUGAUUUUUCUGCCUCUUAUAGCAAUUACAAUGCGCUAGAUG
This 1771-nucleotide long non-coding RNA is filed under the name Podarcis lilfordi (Lilford's wall lizard). Lineage: Eukaryota; Metazoa; Chordata; Lepidosauria; Squamata; Lacertidae. The record is from RNAcentral.